RNAcentral lists this unclassified non-coding RNA (371 nucleotides) under uncultured fungus. RNAcentral describes it as "sequence contains ITS1". Lineage: Eukaryota; Fungi. The record is from RNAcentral.
UACUGAUAAGGCAUUGCCCGAUUAUGUAGCCGGUUCAGCAGGUCUUCUUCCUGAGAUUCCGAUCGAGGUGCCAAGGGGCACCAUGCUGUCCUCAGUGCGCCUUCUCGCGACGAAAGAUGCGAAAUUGGUGAGCGCACUUGCCAAUGGCGAGCGGGCGCCCGUCUUCACCGGCACGGAACGCGGUCACCCGAGCUUUGAAGUACAGGUAGCCAUACCGCCCGGGCAAUCCGGCGAAUUGAGCUUCCACCUUUCCGAACCGACGUCUCCGGGUGCACCGCGUGUUCCGAUUCAGCCGUUGGUGGACACCGUCACUCCUGCGGUAUCGGUGCCCGAAUGCUCGGGAUGAGCCGCAGGCGCACAAUAACGGCGGG